This 760-nucleotide ribosomal RNA is filed under the name uncultured bacterium. RNAcentral describes it as "bacterial SSU rRNA". It matches the Rfam family "Bacterial small subunit ribosomal RNA", at positions 8 to 796 of the family's 1533-position model. The record is from RNAcentral.
AGAGUUUGAUCAUGGCUCAGGACGAACGCUGGCGGCGCGCUUUACGCAUGCAAGUCGCACGGACCUUCGGGUUAGUGGCGGACGGCUGAGUAACGCGUAGGCAAUCUGCCCAGUGGUGGGGGACAACCUGCCGAAAGGCGGGCUAAUACCGCAUAAGUUCACCGGGUGAAAAUCCCGGUGAGGAAAGCAGUAAUGUGCCACUGGAGGAGCCUGCGUCCUAUCAGGUAGUUGGUGGGGUAACGGCCUACCAAGCCGAUGACGGGUAGCUGGUCUGAGAGGUCGACCAGCCAGAAGGGGACUGAGACACGGCCCCUACUCCUACGGGAGGCAGCAGCGAGGAAUCUUGGGCAAUGGGCGAAAGCCUGACCCAGCGACGCCGCGUGAGGGAAGAAGGUCUUCGGGUCGUAAACCUCUUUUAUGGGGGAAGAAGUUCUGACGGUACCCCAUGAAUAAGCCACGGCUAACUACGUGCCAGCAGCCGCGGUAAUACGUAGGUGGCGAGCGUUGUCCGGAUUUACUGGGCGUAAAGGGCUUGUAGGCGGUUCGUUAAGUCCGGUGUGAAAUCUCCCGGCUCAACUGGGAGGGGUCAUCGGAUACUGGCGGACUAGAGGGGGGUAGAGGAAAGCAGAAUUCCUGGUGUAGCGGUGAAAUGCGUAGAUAUCAGGAGGAAUACCAGUGGCGAAGGCGGCUUUCUGGGCCUACCCUGACGCUGAGGAGCGAAAGCGUGGGGAGCAAACCGGAUUAGAUACCCUAGUAGUCC